RNAcentral lists this unclassified non-coding RNA (242 nucleotides) under Hevea brasiliensis (rubber tree). Lineage: Eukaryota; Viridiplantae; Streptophyta; Magnoliopsida; Malpighiales; Euphorbiaceae. The record is from RNAcentral.
GCUUUGGAUACACCUGGUAUCUCAAAGUCUUAUCCUACAUUGGCAUUAACAUGGUUAAGUGUGCGGAUCCUACAUCUUUGGUUUCGCUAUCAGUCUCUUUCAGUUCUGCAAUUCAACACGAUAAAUCUCAAACGGGCUCGCAUAUUAGUGAACUCUCAUGUUUUACACUGUACAGUCCCAGGAAUCAAUGAAUGCAAUAGGAUGGAGAGCAUCUUAUUGUGGGAAAGAUUCUUAAGGCCACG